GCCGACUUAGCUCAAUUGGUAGAGCAACUGAAUCGUAAUCAGUAGGUUGCGGGUUCAAUUCCUGUAGUCGGCACCA
RNAcentral lists this transfer RNA (76 nucleotides) under Bacilli bacterium. Its description in RNAcentral is "tRNA-Thr". It matches the Rfam family "tRNA". Rfam says of the family: Transfer RNA (tRNA) molecules are approximately 80 nucleotides in length. Their secondary structure includes four short double-helical elements and three loops (D, anti-codon, and T loops). Further hydrogen bonds mediate the characteristic L-shaped molecular structure. tRNAs have two regions of fundamental functional importance: the anti-codon, which is responsible for specific mRNA codon recognition, and the 3' end, to which the tRNAs corresponding amino acid is attached (by aminoacyl-tRNA synthetases). tRNAs cope with the degeneracy of the genetic code in two manners: having more than one tRNA (with a specific anti-codon) for a particular amino acid; and 'wobble' base-pairing, i.e. permitting non-standard base-pairing at the 3rd anti-codon position. Lineage: Bacteria; Bacillati; Bacillota; Bacilli. RNAcentral also lists the same sequence under 2 other names. The record is from RNAcentral.